CCUACGGGAGGCUGCAGUGAGGAAUAUUGGUCAAUGGGCGAGAGCCUGAACCAGCCAAGUCGCGUGAAGGAUGAAGGAUCUAUGGGUUGUAAACUUCUUUUAUAUGGGAAUAAAAUGUUCCACGUGUGGGAUUUUGUAUGUACCAUAUGAAUAAGGAUCGGCUAACUCCGUGCCAGCAGCCGCGGUAAUACGGAGGAUCCGAGCGUUAUCCGGAUUUAUUGGGUUUAAAGGGAGCGUAGGUGGAUUGUUAAGUCAGUUGUGAAAGUUUGCGGCUCAACCGUAAAAUUGCAGUUGAAACUGGCAGUCUUGAGUACAGUAGAGGUGGGCGGAAUUCGUGGUGUAGCGGUGAAAUGCUUAGAUAUCACGAAGAACUCCGAUUGCGAAGGCAGCUCACUGGACUGCAACUGACACUGAGGCUCGAAAGUGUGGGUAUCAAACAGGAUUAGAUACCCGAGUAGUC
RNAcentral lists this ribosomal RNA (460 nucleotides) under uncultured bacterium. RNAcentral describes it as "partial 16S ribosomal RNA". It matches the Rfam family "Bacterial small subunit ribosomal RNA", at positions 338 to 795 of the family's 1533-position model. The record is from RNAcentral.